GCUUAAAGGGGCCGUAGCUUGAUAAUAGGGUCCCUUGAGAAAUCCGCCGGCUUAACUGGCGGGCGUUCAGGGGAAACUUGUUUUCUAGGGACCGGGAGAGGUGAGGGGUACUGCCGGGGUAGGAGUGAAAUCCUGUAAUCCCGGUGGGACCACCUAUGGCGAAGGCAUCUCACCAGAACGGGUCCGACAGUGAGGGACGAAAGCUGGGGGAGCAAACCGGAUUAGAUACCCGGGUAGUCCCAGCUGUAAACUAUGUGCGUUAGGUGUGUCAGUGACCACGUGUCACUGAGGUGCCGAAGGGAAACCGUGAAACGCACCGCCUGGGGAGUACGGUCGCAAGGCUGAAACUUAAAGGAAUUGGCGGGGGAGCACCACAACGGGUGGAGCCUGCGGUUUAAUCGGACUCAACGCCGGGAAUCUCACCGGAUAAGACAGCUGAAUGAUAGUCGGGAUGAAGACUCUACUUGACUAGCUGAGAGGAGGUGCAUGGCCGUCGUCAGUUCGUACUGUGAAGCAUCCUGUUUAGUCAGGCAACGAGCGAGACCCACGCGAGCAGUUGCCAGCUUGACCUUCGGGUUGAUGGGGACACUGCUCGGACCGCCUCUGCUAAAGGGGAGGAAGGACUGGGCAACGGUAGGUCAGCAUGCCCCGAAUUAUCCGGGCUACACGCGGGCUACAAUGGACAGGACAAUGAGUUUCGACACCGAGAGGUGAGGAUAAUCUUCUAACCCUGUCCCAAGUUCGGAUUGCGGGUUGUAACUCACCCGCAUGAAGCUGGAAUCCGUAGUAAUCGCGUUUCAACAUACCGCGGUGAAUAUGUCCCUGCUCCUUGCACACACCGCCCGU
RNAcentral lists this ribosomal RNA (846 nucleotides) under uncultured prokaryote. RNAcentral describes it as "bacterial SSU rRNA". It matches the Rfam family "Archaeal small subunit ribosomal RNA", at positions 508 to 1353 of the family's 1478-position model. The record is from RNAcentral.